CUAAAAAUAGUAUAAUUAUUACAUUAUUUUUUCAUAAUAAAAAUACCUUUCUUCUUGGGUUUUUUAGU
RNAcentral lists this transfer RNA (68 nucleotides) under Euglandina singleyana. RNAcentral's name for it is "tRNA-Glu". The record is from RNAcentral. Lineage: Eukaryota; Metazoa; Mollusca; Gastropoda; Stylommatophora; Spiraxidae.